RNAcentral lists this unclassified non-coding RNA (46 nucleotides) under Expression vector pBMRz. The record is from RNAcentral. RNAcentral also lists the same sequence under 3 other names.
CAAUGCUCAGGACUGAUGAGUCCGUGAGGACGAAACUCUAAGGCUU